GGCAGCAUGCCAGAGUUGGUUAAUGGGUGGGACUCCUACUAAAAUACGAGGCAUCUCAUGGGCUUUGCCUUCGCGGGUUCGAAUCCCGCUGCUGUCA
This is a non-coding RNA of Dispira simplex, 97 nucleotides long. Lineage: Eukaryota; Fungi; Kickxellomycota; Dimargaritomycetes; Dimargaritales; Dimargaritaceae. The record is from the annotation of a GenBank genome assembly.